Molecule: non-coding RNA, 148 nt
Filed under: Pan troglodytes (chimpanzee)
Lineage: Eukaryota; Metazoa; Chordata; Mammalia; Primates; Hominidae
Source: Rfam by way of RNAcentral
GCCGGGCGUGGUGGCGGGCGCCUGUAAUCCCAGCUACUCGGGAGGCUAAGGCAGGAGAAUCGCUUGAACCCAGGAGACGCAGCUUGCAGUGAGCCAAGAUCGCACCACUGCACUCCAGCCUGGGUGACAAAGCAAGACUCUGUCUCAU